UGUCUUUAAUAGUAACCAGCUUAUUAAAAAAAGCAAAAACAGUUAAUUAACAAGAGUCAAAAAUUUCUUUUUUUUCUUCUGCAGUAUUUUGUAUUUAUAAGCUUGCUUUAUGCCCUUAGUUUUAGGGGAAUUAUAUGGGUUUUAUAUCUUUAACUUCCAAGCAAAUACCCAUAUUUUUUCUUGAAAAGCAUAGUCAUCAAAUUCAAGCAUUUAUCUGUCGGAGUGUUGGGAAUUUUUCUAAACCGAGAUUUUUCUUUCUGUCUCUGAGCGAUCACCUCCGACCGGAGUCGUCGUUCUGGUGUCUGUCCACGUCCGGGACUGUCCGCGCAGACACGGAUGCCCGUGCCCCGUUUGCCCGUGGCUGUGAUUCUGCCGCUGCCGUCUGACACGUUUCUUCUGCAGAGGGGGAAGGAGUCACCCCGCCGUCUAGCAUGUGCUGUGAAUGCAAAGGCAUAGAUUUAAUCCAGCAUUAGUACCCAUUAGUGACAGAGACAAGCUGAAGGCUCCUUCCAGAGGAAGAAUUCCUUUCAUGAUGAUCUCCACCAGCUGCUCAAAAUGACUCUUCUUACAACCUCCUGAAAAAGGAAAGCUGUUCUUGCAAGAACUUUUCUCUAGUCUAAACUUUUUCCUUCUGAUCAGACAUCUGUUCUUCACCAUACAAUACUCCUCUGUUUCCUCAGUACAAUUAAAAAUACAAAUAUUAGAUUUUCCCCUCCUCCUUUUCUUUUUUAAUGAGCCCUGAAAUUGUGUAACUUGGUAAUUCUGCGCAGUGUGAAGACAUUGCUCUGUCUUCAGUAUGGGGGAUUAAUUUACAGCUAGACUGGCCCAGCGUAGCUGCAAACCUUGUCGAAGACAUAGAAAAGAAGAAGGGAAAACCUGUAAUGUUCUCUUCGUGUUUGAUAUCUGUACAGCCUUUAAGUUGAGGAAACACUUUUGUCCCUUCCCGUUGAAGCAGCGAAGUUGGUCCCCAGCACCCAUAGGAUGUGGAGAACAGAUAGAGGUACAAAGCUUUCCAACUCAGUUUCUGUAUUUUUGUGGCUCAUUCAGCCUCCCAUCUGCCCAUCUUCGAUUGGAAUUACGCUGAUAACAACAACAUUGAUUUUACCUACAAAUGAAGGGAUCUCCCAAGUUUAUUAAAAACAUAUUCAGCUGCAAUAACAAAUGUAAUCAAGGGGAAGGGAAAGGCACCUCAAGAAGACAACUCGACCAGCUUGAGCUUUGGAAGUGCCCCUCUCUCCUGUGACUGUACAGGGAAGCCAUCCUCCUAAAUUUGGCAAGCAGGAUAAACCCAUUGGGGAGAAUACUGGAAUAUUAGUUGCUGUUACUCAUUUUUUUUUUAGUGUUUGUUAAAGAGAGUUUCUAAUACUAGAAAAUGUUGGAUUGUGAUGGUGGAUAAUGACACAAGCAGCCCUUAAUAUUGUGGUAUUCCAAGUAAUGGCCUGCUGUUGUUCUCCACUUUACCUUCAGUGUAGUUUUCCUCAUGUUUUAUGAAGUACUAAACUUGGAAUAUGGCAUUGUCUGCCAUAUAAAAGUGGAAUCAGGCUUCAGAUGGCUUUUCAUAUGAGCAAAUCUCAAGGUAGUGGCUGCUCAAAUACUAGAAUUUAAAUAAUUAAAAAACAAGCAAAUGAGCAAAAUUAACCAUAGCACUUUGGAAAUUCAGGCAAUGUCUUUUCAGGAUUUGUUACCUCACAGAUUUCCAGUACUGGAAAAAUCCCAAAAUGCUCUCAUUGGAAUAAGAGACUUCUCAGACUGCCAAAGCUAUAAGAUGUUUGUCUCUAACUCUGAUGAUUUGCACAAUACUAUGUCUUUAAAGUAUUGUUGGCCCUGAGUCUAGCUAUCUUUUUUGUUUGUUUUUGGCAUUAAAGCAAGUCCCAGAUUUCA
Molecule: long non-coding RNA, 1881 nt
Organism: Dromaius novaehollandiae (emu)
Lineage: Eukaryota; Metazoa; Chordata; Aves; Casuariiformes; Dromaiidae
Exons: 2
Source: RefSeq, a predicted model, not a curated record